GGGCCCCGCACAAGCAGCGGAGCGUGUGGUUUAAUUCGAUGCUACACGAAGAACUUACCAGGGUUUGACAUACAAGUAGUAGGGAAAGGAAACUGGACCGACCCUUCGGGGAGCUUGAACAGGUGCUGCAUGGCUGUCGUCAGCUCGUGUCGUGAGAUGUUCGGUUAAGUCCGCUAACGAGCGCAACCCUCGCUGUGUGUUACAAGUGUCACACGGAACUGCCGGUCAUAAACCGGAGGAAGGUGGGGAUGACGUCAAGUCAGCAUGGCCUUUAUAUCCUGGGCUACACACACGCUACAAUGGGAAGGGACAAUAGGUUGCGAAACCGCGAGGUGGAGCCAAUCCAGCAAAACUUCCCUCAGUUCAGAUUGCAGGCUGCAACUCGCCUGCAUGAAGUUGGAGUUGCUAGUAAACGCAGGUCAGCCAUACUGCGUUGAAUACGUUCCCGGGGCUU
This 454-nucleotide ribosomal RNA is filed under the name uncultured Anaerolineaceae bacterium. Its description in RNAcentral is "bacterial SSU rRNA". It matches the Rfam family "Bacterial small subunit ribosomal RNA", at positions 916 to 1382 of the family's 1533-position model. The record is from RNAcentral. Lineage: Bacteria; Bacillati; Chloroflexota; Anaerolineae; Anaerolineales; Anaerolineaceae.